AAAGUGCAUGCGCUUUGGGACAGUGAGGAAAAUAAUGUUCACAAAGCCCAUACACUUUUA
Molecule: microRNA precursor, 60 nt
Organism: Oryctolagus cuniculus (rabbit)
Lineage: Eukaryota; Metazoa; Chordata; Mammalia; Lagomorpha; Leporidae
Gene: ocu-mir-350
Product: ocu-mir-350
Source: Ensembl